UCGGUAGAGAUCUUCUCCACUUCCUUUGUCGUCGUUUCCUUCUUCUCUUCUUCUCCUCCAAUCUGAAGUUUCUCGGCAACCAUAUCAGAAAAGGCUUUGUCUUCUUCUUCAGUUGUCAGUUUCUCCGCCACAUAAUCUCUACCCGACACACUUUUAUCUUCCCCUCGUUGCUCCUCUACUCCACUUCCACCUCCGGAGAUAGGUAACUUCGUCGUCACGGCAGACUCUGUUUCUUGAUCCUUCUCAUUGACCGGAGUCAACUUCUCAUCAACAGUUCCCGCCACUUGAGUUUGAUCUCCCACCGGAAUUUCUCCGGAGUAACCUAGCAUUGAAGCAAACUUCUCUGUGUAAGUGCUCUGUUUUGGCUCCUCUGUUUUCUCAUCUCUCGUCUCCUCAAAAUCAUCUCUGGACUCCUUAAACUCAUCUCUUUCUUUAGGAUGAGAAAGUUCCGGUGAGAAUUGAUCAAGAGUCUCCGUCUUUGGGUCUCUUCCCAGCUCAGUCUCUACUUCCACAUCAUCACUUCUCGCCGGAAAUUUAUCCUCUUCUGAUGCCUCACCGUAUCCAGGUCUUCCCUUCGCCAGAAAAUCUGGUUCUCCGUCAAAUCCCGUCGGCACAUCCUUGUCGAUAUCAGAUUCGUUCUUCAGAUCCAACUCAUGACUUCUCACCGGAAAAUUUCCUCCCAACGGAGCUCCUAAACCGCCGUCAGAUUCCGGCGAAUACUCGUUUCUUCCAGAAUCGUUCUUCUGAUCAAAUUCUUUUUCCAGCUCAGCUCCUGAUUCACUACCAAAGCCCAUCGGAGAAUUCUUGUCGUUUCCAGAUUCAGUCUUCAGAUCAAAUUCAUGGCUUCUUGAUGGAGAAUUCGUGUCCAUUCCAGUUUCAGUCUUCAUAUCAAAAUCAUGACUUCUCGUCGGAAAAUCUUUUUCCAGCUCAGCUCCUGACUCGUCACCAAAGCCCACCGGGAAAACAACUCCUGAUUCACCUGGAAAUUUCGCCGGCGAAUCCUUACCGAGAACAGAGUCAAAGUCCUGAUCAAACUCUUUGAAUUCUUUGCUUCUCGUCGACAAGUCUCUUUCAAAUUGUCCUGGCUUCUGAUCAGGAGACUCAUCAGUCACUUCCAUAUUACCAAAAGACUCAGCAAUCUCCGGUACUCCUCCAGUUUCUAAACCAAACACAACGUAACAGAGUUAUUACAUAUUCAUAAUCACUAAAGAAAAACACAAUCUUAAAAGGUCAAAGUUCUUACCUUCUUUGGUGGGAUCAGUAACUUUGGACUGAUAAUUAGAUACACCACUAAGAUAGUCUGAAACAGCCGACUCUUCCUCCAACGUUAUCGGGGUCUCGACGUUGACCUUCCGUUGACCAUCAAGAUAUUCAUCAUCACCACUUGGAGCAAACGUACUCGUUACAUCCUCUGUUCCAGAAAGCAGAGAGACCGGAGUGUUCAAUGACUCAUGAUGAGUCUCUCUACUCUCUUCUCUGUCUGACAAUUCGGACAGAGGAUGAUGAAUCGGUACAUCUCUUUUCUCUUCCUUGUCCGAUGUAAACGUCGUCCUUACAGAAUGAGCCGGUGCAUCGUGUCCGUAAGAGGCCUCUUGUACUGGUACAGAUUCAGUGGGUUUGGUGUAAUCGGAAGACACGACAGGAAACACCUUUGUCCCUGGUGGAAUAAUUUCCUCCGAUGCUGGAACAUUAGUUUCUCUAGGUUUACCUGUUACGCCUGCAUAUACAGAUACCAAACCGUUAAUGUCACGCAAAAUUGAAUAACCAAUAGUUUUUAGAUCAUAAGUUGAAUGAAACUACAAAAGAAAGUAACCUGGUGCAUCGAUCACUUCAGGUUCUAGCUCGUCAUCAUCAUCAUCUUCUUCAACCAAAUCAUGAUCUUGCUCAUGCUCAUUGCUUUGUCCAUGUUU
This 1910-nucleotide non-coding RNA is filed under the name Arabidopsis thaliana (thale cress). The record is from RNAcentral. Lineage: Eukaryota; Viridiplantae; Streptophyta; Magnoliopsida; Brassicales; Brassicaceae.